Molecule: ribosomal RNA, 694 nt
Filed under: uncultured Actinobacillus sp.
Lineage: Bacteria; Pseudomonadati; Pseudomonadota; Gammaproteobacteria; Pasteurellales; Pasteurellaceae
Description: bacterial SSU rRNA
Rfam family: Bacterial small subunit ribosomal RNA
Source: RNAcentral
UUCUUUGCUGAGAGUGGCGGACGGGUGAGUAAUGCUUGGGAAUCUGGCUUAUGGAGGGGGAUAACUACGGGAAACUGUAGCUAAUACCGCGUAAUAUCUUCGGAUUAAAGGGUGGGACUUUCGGGCCACCUGCCAUAAGAUGAGCCCAAGUGGGAUUAGGUAGUUGGUGGGGUAAAGGCCUACCAAGCCGACGAUCUCUAGCUGGUCUGAGAGGAUGACCAGCCACACUGGAACUGAGACACGGUCCAGACUCCUACGGGAGGCAGCAGUGGGGAAUAUUGCACAAUGGGGGGAACCCUGAUGCAGCCAUGCCGCGUGAAUGAAGAAGGCCUUCGGGUUGUAAAGUUCUUUCGGUGAUGAGGAAGGGUAGUGUUUUAAUAGAGCACUACAUUGACGUUAGUCGCAGAAGAAGCACCGGCUAACUCCGUGCCAGCAGCCGCGGUAAUACGGAGGGUGCGAGCGUUAAUCGGAAUGACUGGGCGUAAAGGGCACGCAGGCGGUGACUUAAGUGAGAUGUGAAAGCCCCGAGCUUAACUUGGGAAUUGCAUUUCAUACUGGGUUGCUAGAGUAUUUUAGGGAGGGGUAGAAUUCCACGUGUAGCGGUGAAAUGCGUANAGAUGUGGAGGAAUACCGAAGGCGAAGGCAGCCCCUUGGGAAAAUACUGACGCUCAUGUGCGAAAGCGUGGGGAGCAAA